Mandrillus leucophaeus (drill) is the source of this 346-nucleotide long non-coding RNA. RefSeq lists it as uncharacterized. The record is from RefSeq and is a predicted model, not a curated record. The transcript has 3 exons. NCBI's taxonomy places the organism in Eukaryota, Metazoa, Chordata, Mammalia, Primates, Cercopithecidae.
UUUGGACACAGACUGGUACAGAAGGAAGACCAUGUGAAAACACAGGAUGACAAAGCAAGUAAGAAAAAUUAAUUUCAGAAAGGAAAAUAAACUUGCUUGAGGUGCUCUUCAAUGGACAAAGGCCAUAAGAGGCUGGAAAGCAAAAGGACCCAUUAAUGUAACGCAAACAUCAGUCUCCUGGAGUAAACAGGUGAAUGGAGAAGCGUGGAGAGUAGAUGUGGAUGAGUGAAAAAUACAUCACACCAUGUCUUCAAAUUACAUCCAGCAACUUCACAUGCACUAUGAAACCCUUGUUGCCACAAUAGUCCCUCUUUCUUUGAACUACUAUAAGAAUAAAGAAAUUUCU